AGCGAACGCUGGCGGCAGGCCUAACACAUGCAAGUCGAACGAACCUUUCGGGGUUAGUGGCGGACGGGUGAGUAACACGUGGGAACGUGCCUUUAGGUACGGAAUAACUCAGGGAAACUUGUGCUAAUACCGAAUGUGCCCUUCGGGGGAAAGAUUAAUCGCCUUUAGAGCGGCCCGCGUCUGAUUAGCUAGUUGGUUGAGGUAAUGGCUCACCAAGGCGACGAUCAGUAGCUGGUCUGAGAGGAUGAUCAGCCACAUUGGGACUGAGACACGGCCCAAACUCCUACGGGAGGCAGCAGUGGGGAAUCUUGCGCAAUGGGCGAAAGCCUGACGCAGCCAUGCCGCGUGAAUGAUGAAGGUCUUAGGAUUGUAAAAUUCUUUCACCGGGGACGAUAAUGACGGUACCCGGAGAAGAAGCCCCGGCUAACUUCGUG
Molecule: ribosomal RNA, 434 nt
Filed under: uncultured bacterium
Lineage: Bacteria
Description: partial 16S ribosomal RNA
Rfam family: Bacterial small subunit ribosomal RNA
Source: RNAcentral